AGAAUGGCAGAGGAUAAAGUGCGAUAGUUUUAGGGACUAAUUAUGAAAGUGGAGUUCUUUCUUUU
This 65-nucleotide transfer RNA is filed under the name Diversibipalium mayottensis. RNAcentral's name for it is "tRNA-Leu". Lineage: Eukaryota; Metazoa; Platyhelminthes; Tricladida; Geoplanidae. The record is from RNAcentral.